GAUGAACGCUGGCGGCGUGCCUAAUACAUGCAAGUCGAGCGAACAGACGAGGAGCUUGCUCCUCUGACGUUAGCGGCGGACGGGUGAGUAACACGUGGAUAACCUACCUAUAAGACUGGGAUAACUUCGGGAAACCGGAGCUAAUACCGGAUAAUAUAUUGAACCGCAUGGUUCAAUAGUGAAAGACGGUUUUGCUGUCACUUAUAGAUGGAUCCGCGCCGCAUUAGCUAGUUGGUAAGGUAACGGCUUACCAAGGCAACGAUGCGUAGCCGACCUGAGAGGGUGAUCAGCCACACUGGAACUGGGACACGGUCCAGACUCCUACGGGGCGCAACAGUAGGGAAUCUUCCGCAAAGGGCGAAAACCUGACGGAGCAACGCCGCGUGAAUGAUGAAAAUCUUCGGGUCGUAAAACUCUGUUGUUAGGGAAAAACAAAUGUGUAAGUAACUAUGCACGUCUUGACGGUACCUAAUGAGAAAACCACGGCUAACUACGUG
Molecule: ribosomal RNA, 497 nt
Filed under: uncultured bacterium
Lineage: Bacteria
Description: partial 16S ribosomal RNA
Rfam family: Bacterial small subunit ribosomal RNA
Source: RNAcentral